GUCUGUCUGUUGAUGGUUCACUCUGAAGCCUGACCAGGAGGGGGUUUCGCCUCCAUUCUUUCCUCAGAGGCACAGGCCAUGUCCCUCCCUGCUCCAGCUCCCUCAGGGGGAAACCCGAAAGGAAGCCAGAGUAAGAAGUGGAGCGGCAGCAGCAGCAAGGCAAGGGAUGCAGGCAGAGAGCCAAGAAGACCGAAGGGAUCAUGGGAAAGGAGGCCAGAGGGAAACCAGAGAGGAGAAACCAGAUCUGAGAAGUGCAUAGAUGCGUCCCAAGAAGAGUGUUAUGAAAAGCCAAGCCUGGCAACUCCUAUGAGCAUGGGGUGGAAUCCUAGUCGCACGCAAGACAAAUGGGCCAGCAGCGACAUGAACAGUCUUCACGGUAAGUCUAAAAUUGUACCUAAAAUUGGAGAAGAGCAGCCACUGCCACAAUUGUGCUUUGGUGUCAUCAAGAACUCUAUCUCAGAUGUGGAUAAGUCCCUGCAGAUAAAUGCAAUUGGUCAUAGGUAG
Molecule: long non-coding RNA, 504 nt
Filed under: Sus scrofa (pig)
Lineage: Eukaryota; Metazoa; Chordata; Mammalia; Artiodactyla; Suidae
Description: lncRNA (ENSSSCG00025021987.1)
Source: RNAcentral